UACGGAGGGUGCGAGCGUUAAUCGGAAUAACUGGGCGUAAAGGGCACGCAGGCGGGUUUUUAAGUGAGAUGUGAAAUCCCCGGGCUCAACCUGGGAAUUGCAUUUCAGACUGGCAAGCUAGAGUACUUUAGGGGGGGGUAGAAUUCCAGGUGUAGCGGUGAAAUGCGUAGAGAUCUGGAGGAAUACCGAUGGCGAAGGCAGCCCCUUGGACAUGGACUGACGCUCAGGUGCGAAAGCGUGGGGAGCAAACAGG
Molecule: ribosomal RNA, 253 nt
Filed under: uncultured bacterium
Lineage: Bacteria
Description: partial 16S ribosomal RNA
Rfam family: Bacterial small subunit ribosomal RNA
Source: RNAcentral